CGUAGGGUGCAAGCGUUAAUCGGAAUUACUGGGCGUAAAGCGUGCGCAGGCGGUGAUGUAAGACAGUUGUGAAAUCCCCGGGCUCAACCUGGGAACUGCAUCUGUGACUGCAUCGCUGGAGUGCGGCAGAGGGGGGUGGAAUUCCGCGUGUAGCAGUGAAAUGCGUAGAUAUGCGGAGGAACACCGAUGGCGAAGGCAACCCCCUGGGCCUGCACUGACGCUCAUGCACGAAAGCGUGGGGAGCAAACAGGAUU
Molecule: ribosomal RNA, 254 nt
Filed under: uncultured bacterium
Lineage: Bacteria
Description: partial 16S ribosomal RNA
Rfam family: Bacterial small subunit ribosomal RNA
Source: RNAcentral